RNAcentral lists this ribosomal RNA (2931 nucleotides) under Escherichia coli. Its description in RNAcentral is "23S ribosomal RNA". It matches the Rfam family "Bacterial large subunit ribosomal RNA". Lineage: Bacteria; Pseudomonadati; Pseudomonadota; Gammaproteobacteria; Enterobacterales; Enterobacteriaceae. The record is from RNAcentral.
GGGUUGUGAGGUUAAGCGACUAAGCGUACACGGUGGAUGCCCUGGCAGUCAGAGGCGAUGAAGGACGUGCUAAUCUGCGAUAAGCGUCGGUAAGGUGAUAUGAACCGUUAUAACCGGCGAUUUCCGAAUGGGGAAACCCAGUGUGUUUCGACACACUAUCAUUAACUGAAUCCAUAGGUUAAUGAGGCGAACCGGGGGAACUGAAACAUCUAAGUACCCCGAGGAAAAGAAAUCAACCGAGAUUCCCCCAGUAGCGGCGAGCGAACGGGGAGCAGCCCAGAGCCUGAAUCAGUGUGUGUGUUAGUGGAAGCGUCUGGAAAGGCGCGCGAUACAGGGUGACAGCCCCGUACACAAAAAUGCACAUACUGUGAGCUCGAUGAGUAGGGCGGGACACGUGGUAUCCUGUCUGAAUAUGGGGGGACCAUCCUCCAAGGCUAAAUACUCCUGACUGACCGAUAGUGAACCAGUACCGUGAGGGAAAGGCGAAAAGAACCCCGGCGAGGGGAGUGAAAAAGAACCUGAAACCGUGUACGUACAAGCAGUGGGAGCCUCUUAAUGGGGUGACUGCGUACCUUUUGUAUAAUGGGUCAGCGACUUAUAUUCUGUAGCAAGGUUAACCGAAUAGGGGAGCCGAAGGGAAACCGAGUCUUAACUGGGCGUUAAGUUGCAGGGUAUAGACCCGAAACCCGGUGAUCUAGCCAUGGGCAGGUUGAAGGUUGGGUAACACUAACUGGAGGACCGAACCGACUAAUGUUGAAAAAUUAGCGGAUGACUUGUGGCUGGGGGUGAAAGGCCAAUCAAACCGGGAGAUAGCUGGUUCUCCCCGAAAGCUAUUUAGGUAGCGCCUUGUGAAUUCAUCUCCGGGGGUAGAGCACUGUUUCGGCAAGGGGGUCAUCCCGACUUACCAACCCGAUGCAAACUGCGAAUACCGGAGAAUGUUAUCACGGGAGACACACGGCGGGUGCUAACGUCCGUCGUGAAGAGGGAAACAACCCAGACCGCCAGCUAAGGUCCCAAAGUCAUGGUUAAGUGGGAAACGAUGUGGGAAGGCCCAGACAGCCAGGAUGUUGGCUUAGAAGCAGCCAUCAUUUAAAGAAAGCGUAAUAGCUCACUGGUCGAGUCGGCCUGCGCGGAAGAUGUAACGGGGCUAAACCAUGCACCGAAGCUGCGGCAGCGACACUAUGUGUUGUUGGGUAGGGGAGCGUUCUGUAAGCCUGUGAAGGUGUACUGUGAGGUAUGCUGGAGGUAUCAGAAGUGCGAAUGCUGACAUAAGUAACGAUAAAGCGGGUGAAAAGCCCGCUCGCCGGAAGACCAAGGGUUCCUGUCCAACGUUAAUCGGGGCAGGGUGAGUCGACCCCUAAGGCGAGGCCGAAAGGCGUAGUCGAUGGGAAACAGGUUAAUAUUCCUGUACUUGGUGUUACUGCGAAGGGGGGACGGAGAAGGCUAUGUUGGCCGGGCGACGGUUGUCCCGGUUUAAGCGUGUAGGCUGGUUUUCCAGGCAAAUCCGGAAAAUCAAGGCUGAGGCGUGAUGACGAGGCACUACGGUGCUGAAGCAACAAAUGCCCUGCUUCCAGGAAAAGCCUCUAAGCAUCAGGUAACAUCAAAUCGUACCCCAAACCGACACAGGUGGUCAGGUAGAGAAUACCAAGGCGCUUGAGAGAACUCGGGUGAAGGAACUAGGCAAAAUGGUGCCGUAACUUCGGGAGAAGGCACGCUGAUAUGUAGGUGAAGUCCCUUGCGGAUGGAGCUGAAAUCAGUCGAAGAUACCAGCUGGCUGCAACUGUUUAUUAAAAACACAGCACUGUGCAAACACGAAAGUGGACGUAUACGGUGUGACGCCUGCCCGGUGCCGGAAGGUUAAUUGAUGGGGUUAGCGGUAACGCGAAGCUCUUGAUCGAAGCCCCGGUAAACGGCGGCCGUAACUAUAACGGUCCUAAGGUAGCGAAAUUCCUUGUCGGGUAAGUUCCGACCUGCACGAAUGGCGUAAUGAUGGCCAGGCUGUCUCCACCCGAGACUCAGUGAAAUUGAACUCGCUGUGAAGAUGCAGUGUACCCGCGGCAAGACGGAAAGACCCCGUGAACCUUUACUAUAGCUUGACACUGAACAUUGAGCCUUGAUGUGUAGGAUAGGUGGGAGGCUUUGAAGUGUGGACGCCAGUCUGCAUGGAGCCGGCCUUGAAAUACCACCCUUUAAUGUUUGAUGUUCUAACGUUGGCCCCUGAUCGGGGUUGCGGACAGUGUCUGGUGGGUAGUUUGACUGGGGCGGUCUCCUCCUAAAGAGUAACGGAGGAGCACGAAGGUUGGCUAAUCCUGGUCGGACAUCAGGAGGUUAGUGCAAUGGCAUAAGCCAGCUUGACUGCGAGCGUGACGGCGCGAGCAGGUGCGAAAGCAGGUCAUAGUGAUCCGGUGGUUCUGAAUGGAAGGGCCAUCGCUCAACGGAUAAAAGGUACUCCGGGGAUAACAGGCUGAUACCGCCCAAGAGUUCAUAUCGACGGCGGUGUUUGGCACCUCGAUGUCGGCUCAUCACAUCCUGGGGCUGAAGUAGGUCCCAAGGGUAUGGCUGUUCGCCAUUUAAAGUGGUACGCGAGCUGGGUUUAGAACGUCGUGAGACAGUUCGGUCCCUAUCUGCCGUGGGCGCUGGAGAACUGAGGGGGGCUGCUCCUAGUACGAGAGGACCGGAGUGGACGCAUCACUGGUGUUCGGGUUGUCAUGCCAAUGGCACUGCCCGGUAGCUAAAUGCGGAAGAGAUAAGUGCUGAAAGCAUCUAAGCACGAAACUUGCCCCGAGAUGAGUUCUCCCUGACUCCUUGAGAGUCCUGAAGGAACGUUGAAGACGACGACGUUGAUAGGCCGGGUGUGUAAGCGCAGCGAUGCGUUGAGCUAACCGGUACUAAUGAACCGUGAGGCUUAACCUUACAACGCCGAAGGUGUUU